Molecule: ribosomal RNA, 2880 nt
Filed under: Microcystis aeruginosa NIES-843
Lineage: Bacteria; Bacillati; Cyanobacteriota; Cyanophyceae; Chroococcales; Microcystaceae
Description: bacterial LSU rRNA
Rfam family: Bacterial large subunit ribosomal RNA
Source: RNAcentral
GGUCAAGCUAAUAAGGGCUAACGGUGGAUACCUAGGCACACGGAAGCGAAGAAGGACGUAGUUACCGACGAAACGCUUCGGGGAGCGGGAAGCAAGCAUUGAUCCGAAGAUAUCCGAAUGGGGCAACCCUAAACACGACCACCUGAAUACAUAGGGUGGAGCGAGCAAACCUGGUGAACUGAAACAUCUUAGUAGCCAGAGGAAAAGAAAGCAACAGCGAUUCCCCCAGUAGCGGCGAGCGAAAAGGGAACAGCCUAAACCAAGUUCUGCGGAACUUGGGGUCGUGGGACAGUGACAAAAGACUGGGAAAUUUAGACGAAGCGGCUGAAAACCGCACCAGAGAAGGUGAAAGUCCUGUAGUCGAAAAAGGCACCAGCUUAACUGCAUCCCGAGUAGCAUGGGGCACGUGAAAUCCCGUGUGAAUCUGCCUCGACCACGAGGUAAGGCUAAAUAUUCCCGUGUGACCGAUAGAGAAACAGUACCGCGAGGGAAAGGUGAAAAGAACCCCGGAAGGGGAGUGAAAUAGAACAUGAAACCGUUAGCCUACAAGCAAUGGGAGGACGAUUGAACGUCUGACCGUGUGCCUGUUGAAGAAUGAGCCGGCGACUUACAGGUUAUGGCAGGUGAAGGGGGAAGACCCCACAGCCCCAGCGAAAGCGAGUCUGAAGAGGGCGAAGCGUCAUAAUUUGUAGACCCGAACCCGGGUGAUCUAACCAUGGCCAGGAUGAAGCUUGGGUAAAACCAAGUGGAGGUCCGAACCGACUAAUGUUGAAAAAUUAGCGGAUGAGCUGUGGUUAGGGGUGAAAUGCCAAUCGAACUCGGAGCUAGCUGGUUCUCCCCGAAAUGUGUUGAGGCGCAGCGGUAGUGGAAGUUUAGUCGGGGUAAAGCACUGUUUCGCCGCGGGCUGGGAGACCGGUACCAAGGCGAGGCAAACUCUGAAUACGGCUAAAAAAACUACCAGUGAGACGGUGGGGGAUAAGCUUCAUCGUCAAGAGGGAAACAGCCCAGACCACCAGCUAAGGUCCCCAAAUGAUAACUAAGUGAGAAAGGAGGUGGGAGUGCAUGGACAACCAGGAGGUUUGCCUAGAAGCAGCAAUCCUUAAAAGAGUGCGUAAUAGCUCACUGGUCAAGCGCUCCUGCGCCGAAAAUGAACGGGGCUAAGUUAUCUACCGAAGCUGUGGACUACAUUGUAGUGGUAGGGGAGCGUUCUAUAGGGGGUGAAGCAGUAGCGGCAAGCAGCUGUGGACUCUAUAGAAGUGAGAAUGUCGGCUUAAGUAGCGAAAAUGUGGGUGAGAAUCCCACACCCCGAAACCCCAAGGUUUCCUCCGCAAGGCUCGUCCGCGGAGGGUCAGUCAGGACCUAAGGCGAGGCUGAAAAGCGUAGUCGAUGGACAACGGGUUAACAUUCCCGUACCGAUUAAUGAUUGUGCCGGAGAACGGAGAAGGUCAACGUCAGCUGGAUGUUGGUUACCAGUGCAAGCAGUCGAGGCGAUGAGAGGUGGUGAAAACACCUGGAGCUAAGACGCGAGUCCCACCUCCCACGGGAGGGAAGUGGCGCUGAUCAAGCUUCCUAGAAAAGCCCGAACCACGUUAAUCAUUAAUUGCCUGUACCCGAAACCGACACAGGUGGGGAAGUAGAGAAUACUAAGGGGCGCGAGAUAACUCUCUCUAAGGAACUCGGCAAAAUGACCCCGUAACUUCGGGAGAAGGGGUACCCUCGCAAGAGGGUCGCAGUGAAUAGGCCCAGGCGACUGUUUACCAAAAACACAGGUCUCCGCCAAGUCGUAAGACGCAGUAUGGAGGCUGACGCCUGCCCAGUGCCGGAAGGUUAAGGAAGUUGGUCAGGAGUAAUCUGAAGCUGACGACCGAAGCCCCGGUGAACGGCGGCCGUAACUAUAACGGUCCUAAGGUAGCGAAAUUCCUUGUCGGGUAAGUUCCGACCCGCACGAAAGGCGUAACGAUCUGGGCACUGUCUCGGAGAGAGACUCGGCGAAAUAGGAUUGUCUGUGAAGAUACGGACUACCUGCACCUGGACAGAAAGACCCUAUGAAGCUUUACUGUAGCCUGGCAUUGGCUUCGGGCUUCGCUUGCGCAGGAUAGGUGGGAAGCUUUGAAACUCUCCUCGUGGGGAGAGUGGAGCUAACGGUGAGAUACCACUCUGGCGAGGCUAGAAUUCUAACCCUGACCCCUCAUCGGGGCGGGAGACAGUUUCAGGUGGGCAGUUUGACUGGGGCGGUCGCCUCCUAAAAGGUAACGGAGGCGCGCAAAGGUUCCCUCGGUCCCGUUGGAAAUGGGACGAUAGAGUGCAAAAGCAGAAGGGAGCUUGACUGUGAGACCCACAAGUCGAACAGGGACGAAAGUCGGCUUUAGUGAUCCGACGGCACCGCGUGGAAGGGCCGUCGCUCAACGGAUAAAAGUUACUCUAGGGAUAACAGGCUGAUCUCCCCCAAGAGUUCACAUCGACGGGGAGGUUUGGCACCUCGAUGUCGGCUCAUCGCAACCUGGGGCUGAAGUCGGUCCCAAGGGUUGGGCUGUUCGCCCAUUAAAGCGGUACGUGAGCUGGGUUCAGAACGUCGUGAGACAGUUCGGUCCAUAUCCGGUGUAGGCGUAAGAGCAUUGCGAGGAGCCUUCCUUAGUACGAGAGGACCGGGAAGGACGCACCGCUGGUGUACCUGUUAUCGUGCCAACGGUAAACGCAGGGUAGCCAUGUGCGGAGCGGAUAACCGCUGAAAGCAUCUAAGUGGGAAGCCCACCUCCAGAUGAUUGCUCUCAUGGCAUUAAGCCAGUAAGGUCUCGGGUAGACUACCCGUUGAUAGGCUCUAGAUGGAAGCUCGGUAACGAGUGCAGUCGAGGAGUACUAACCGACCGAGGGCUUGACCUG